GUCGCCAGAAUGAGAAAAGCUAAG
This 24-nucleotide non-coding RNA is filed under the name Cricetulus griseus (Chinese hamster). Lineage: Eukaryota; Metazoa; Chordata; Mammalia; Rodentia; Cricetidae. The record is from RNAcentral.